Molecule: ribosomal RNA, 796 nt
Filed under: Lepeophtheirus salmonis (salmon louse)
Lineage: Eukaryota; Metazoa; Arthropoda; Copepoda; Siphonostomatoida; Caligidae
Description: partial 16S ribosomal RNA
Source: RNAcentral
AAAAUAUCUAUCCUCCCUAUAAGCCUAGGUAGAAAAUUAAGUUAUAAGACAAGGAUAAACACGAUAUAUGGUACUUUUUAAAAUCUGGUUCCCAAAGAAAUAAAACAUUUUAAAAAGAAUUUUAAAAUAAUGUAUUUAGCUUAUGCUGAGUAUAUAUUAGUGAGCAACUAAUUUAAAAAUAUUUAAGGAAUAAUAGUCCCCUCUGUUAUAAUAAAUUGCUAUUGACCUAAUUUAUUUAUUAAGCUUCUCUUCUUAUUUGGGUAAUUAAUUCUAAGAAUUAGAACUUGUUUACACUAGUAAAUAUACUUUUAUUAUUUUCUUACUUAAAUAAGUUUUAUCAAUUUUAAAUUAAAUAUAAACUAAAUAACUUGAGAUUCUCCAAACUGUUUAACAAAGACAUAGUAAGACUGUGUCUUAUGUAUCUGCCCAAUGAAUAAUUUUUUAUGGCUUUAAAGUAGCGCAAUAAUUAGUUUAUUAAUUGUAAACCUGUAUGAAGCUAGCAUUGGUUAAUCAUGUUUAUUCUUAUCUGUUGAAUCUUAGUUAUCAGUACAAACGCUGAUAUGCCCCCCGAAGACGAUAAGACCCUAAGACCUUCACCUUGUUUGGCUGGGAUAGCCUACUUAAUAUAAUAAAGAAACCUUAAUUAUUACGAACCAAUUAUUUUGCUAUACAUAGGUACCUUAGGGAUAACAGCGCGUAAUACUUUUAGAGCUCUUAUUUAAAAGAUAUUCGUGACCUCGAUGUUGAAUUAAGUAAUAUAGUGCUGCAGAAGGUGCUAUUUUAAGUCUGUUCGACU